ACCGACGCCCCGCGUUUCUCAUUUAAAAAAACACAGCAACAACAAAAAUCCAAUUCAGAAAAUCUAAGAGUACACACCGUAGACUUCUUUACCUUCUUACUAAGUACCUUCGCAGAUUUAUGUACAGUUUGAGAUCUACUGUUACUCAAGUAAAUAGGUGAAAACCUGUAGACAAAGAAACUAUUUCCAGAAUGGAAAGUAGGAGAAAUGACGUGUACAAAAAUGUGUAGCAGACAGAAAUCAAACGGAGAGAGAUGAUAUGUAAUUUGAUUGAUACACAGGUGCAAACUGACAACAGGCGCCAGCUUGUGAGAAAAUACUUUCGAUUAAUUUUGUGUGUGUGUCUUAUUAAGUGGUUCGGU
Molecule: long non-coding RNA, 362 nt
Organism: Biomphalaria glabrata
Lineage: Eukaryota; Metazoa; Mollusca; Gastropoda; Planorbidae
Exons: 3
Source: RefSeq, a predicted model, not a curated record